CAGCAGUCGCCACGGUAAUACGGAGGGUGCAAGCGUUAAUCGGAAUUACUGGGCGUAAAGCGCACGCAGGCGGUCUGACAAGUCAGAUGUGAAAUCCCCGGGCUUAACCUGGGAACUGCAUUUGAAACUGUCAGGCUGGAGUCUUGUAGAGGGGGGUGGAAUUCCAGGUGUAGCGGUGAAAUGCGUAGAGAUCUGGAGGAAUACCGGUGGCGAAGGCGGCCCCCUGGACAAAGACUGACGCUCAGGUGCGAAAGCGUGGGGAGCAAACAGGAUUAGAUACCCGGGUAGUCCCUGUCUCUUAUAU
This 304-nucleotide ribosomal RNA is filed under the name uncultured bacterium. RNAcentral's name for it is "partial 16S ribosomal RNA". It matches the Rfam family "Bacterial small subunit ribosomal RNA", at positions 506 to 809 of the family's 1533-position model. The record is from RNAcentral.